GGUGCUGUUGCUGGUCUGUCUGUCGGGAGGUCUGGUGCCUUGGAGGGUUUCGGGGCGCCGCUCCCACACCUCCUGCCAGUCCUUUCCGACCAGCCCUCCCUCCUCCAGGCACUGUCCGCGUCCCUGAGGCUGCUCAGUCCUGCUUGUGCUCAAGCUACUCUGUGUCCAGGUUGCCUGAUGCUGCCUCAGGGAUCCCCCAAGACUGAGGGCAGGAAACGCCUUCCGCUCUGAGCCGGCUUCUGUGGGUCAGGAAUUUGGAUGGAGCCAGUGGGCUCGCUGCCCAGGGUGGCGGCUGCGAGACUCAGAACGGGCUGGCGCUGUCUGCAGGCUGCUUCCGGUCGGGCAGGGCGCUGCUGCCUGGGUCCCUCGCCUGGUCUAGAUCGGGCGGCUCUGCAGGGCUGGGACUGAGCCGCGGCCGCUUUCUUGUGAUCUGCGUUCUGUUCCACAAUCCCCGCCGGGCACAGCGCCACCCAAUUCACGGGACGGAACAGGACCCCACCCUGGGGUGUCAGUCACCCAACCGAGAGUGUGGGAGGGGCACUGCUUCUUGGAAAUGCACCUGCCACUCUCUCCAUUUGCUUCUUCCAGCGGCCGCCCGAUCCGACCGUCAGCGGGCACAUCCCCGAGGGGCUUCCUGGGCGCAGGGACCGGCCGGGACGAGGCUCAGUGCCGGGCCCACGGCAGACACCGGCAGGAAGACCUCCCGAAGCCCAGCACGUCUCACACGUCAGCCGUCAGCCGUCGGAUCCCACAGCAGCUCUGGGGCCAUUUCUCAGUUGACGACCCUGCGGCCUCGAGGGCAGGUGGCUGCACAGGACCUGCCAGCAGGAGCUCAGCUGUGACGGGAACCCAGAUCUCCUGGCCUGAAGCUGCGUUUAAAAGAACCAGAUGCCUCCAAGCAGCAAAGGAAUCCCUCCGGGCUGGGCUGCCCCCAUUCUCCCAGCAAGCAGCCCAGGCCACCCCCGGCCACUGACUGUCCUGCAUUCGGCACAGACUCCACUGGAGAGUUUUUCAUGAUUUGCCUUUUCCUGUGGGAACAGGCGACCAUUUCUCCCCACUGAUGCCAGCAGCGAGUAUUUAGCAGCCGAUCGCCAUGUCAUUAGUCUUGUUUGGUGUGUGCAACAGGAAAUACUUUGCUUUCGGAGAAGAAGAAAAAUAGAUUUACUUGUGUUACGCUUAUUAAUUUGUGUCUGAGAGGAAGGGAGAGGGAUAGAGAGUUAGAA
Long non-coding RNA from Myotis myotis, 1223 nucleotides. RefSeq lists it as uncharacterized. The transcript is spliced from 3 exons. The record is from RefSeq and is a predicted model, not a curated record. NCBI's taxonomy places the organism in Eukaryota, Metazoa, Chordata, Mammalia, Chiroptera, Vespertilionidae.